Non-coding RNA from Arachis ipaensis, 304 nucleotides. The record is from RefSeq and is a predicted model, not a curated record. NCBI's taxonomy places the organism in Eukaryota, Viridiplantae, Streptophyta, Magnoliopsida, Fabales, Fabaceae.
GAACUUAUUAUUCUCCUUCUUGGAGCCUAAUCGUUCUCAUAGCACCUUGUUGGCUGGCUACUUUAACAAGCAUUUGGUCUAAAGUUUGGAGAUUGAUAAGUUUCAAAAUAUGGAAAAGGAAUGGAACUAGAAAUGUUAGUGAUUUCCAACUGUAGCUCCUCCGUUGUGAAGAAUCUUUAAGUCAAUUUUCCAGUUGGAAUGUUAUACCAGACUUUAUAAGUUGAGAUAGAUAUAAUUGUUUAGUCUAAGUAGAUAUUGAAUAGAGUAUAGUUAUGUUCAUGAAUUAUUUUUACCAUGUUUUACU